This 255-nucleotide ribosomal RNA is filed under the name uncultured bacterium. Its description in RNAcentral is "partial 16S ribosomal RNA". It matches the Rfam family "Bacterial small subunit ribosomal RNA", at positions 524 to 778 of the family's 1533-position model. The record is from RNAcentral.
UACGAAGGGGGCUAGCGUUGGCUCGGAAUCACUGGGCGUAAAGGGUGCGUAGGCGGGUCUUUAAGUCAGGGGUGAAAUCCUGGAGCUCAACUCCAGAACUGCCUUUGAUACUGAAGAUCUUGAGUUCGGGAGAGGUGAGUGGAACUGCGAGUGUAGAGGUGAAAUUCGUAGAUAUUCGCAGGAACACCAGUGGCGAAGGCGGCUUACUGGUCCAUAACUGACGCUGAGGUGCGAAAGCGUGGGGAGCAACAGGAU